RNAcentral lists this ribosomal RNA (1477 nucleotides) under uncultured Planctomycetota bacterium. RNAcentral's name for it is "SSU rRNA". It matches the Rfam family "Bacterial small subunit ribosomal RNA". The record is from RNAcentral. Lineage: Bacteria; Pseudomonadati; Planctomycetota.
AACGUUAGCGGUGUGGAUUAGGCAUGCAAGUCGUGCGUGAAAGCCUUCGGGUGAGUAAAGCGGCGUAAGGGUGAGUAACACGUAACCAACCUGCCCCUCUGAUCGGGAUAACCACUGGAAACGGUGGCUAAUACCGGAUGGUCCCCGCAGGAGGCAUCUCCUGUUGGGUAAACGGCCGCUUUAGCGGUUGUGGAGGGAAGGGGUUGCGGCCUAUCAGCUUGUUGGUGAGGUAAUGGCUCACCAAGGCUAUAACGGGUAGCCGGUCUGAGAGGACGAUCGGCCACACUGGGACUGAGACACUGCCCAGACUCCUACGGGAGGCUGCAGUCGAGAAUCUUCCGCAAUGGGCGAAAGCCUGACGGAGCGACACCGCGUGCAGGAUGAAGGCUCUAGGGUUGUAAACUGCUGUCACAUACUAGGAAUGCUGUGCAGUUAAUAACUGUACGGUUGACUAACGUGAAAGGAAGCACCGGCUAACUCCGUGCCAGCAGCCGCGGUAAUACGGAGGGUGCAAACGUUGUUCGGAAUUAUUGGGCAUAAAGAGCACGUAGGCGGUGCGGUAAGUCAGAUGUGAAAGCCCUCGGCUCAACCGAGGAAGUGCAUCUGAAACUGCCACACUAGAGAACGGUUGGGGUGAGUGGAACUCCUGGUGGAGCGGUGAAAUGCGUAGAUAUCAGGAGGAACACCGGUGGCGAAAGCGGCUCACUGGACCGUUACUGACGCUGAGGUGCGAAAGCUAGGGGAGCGAACGGGAUUAGAUACCCCGGUAGUCCUAGCCGUAAACGAUGGGUACUAGGUAAGGGGAAUGCCUAUGGUCUUCCUUACCGGAGCAAAUGUGUUAAGUACCCCGCCUGGGGAGUACGCUCGCAAGGGUAAAACUCAAAGGAAUUGACGGAGGAUCACACAAGCGGUGGAGCAUGUGGUUUAAUUCGAAGCAACGCGAAGAACCUUACCUGGCCUUGACAUGCACGGAUUAGCUCUGUGAAAGCAGAGUAACGGCCCUUCGGGGUUGGAACGUGCACAGGUGUUGCAUGGCUGUCGUCAGCUCGUGUCGUGAGAUGUUGGGUUAAGUCCCGUAACGUGCGAAACCCUUAUUGCUAGUUGCCAGCGGGUAAUGCCGGGGACUCUAGCGAGACUGCCGUUGUUAAAACGGAGGAAGGUGGGGACGACGUCAAGUCAUCAUGGCCCUUAUGGCCAGGGCGACACACGUGCUACAAUGGUCUGUACAAAGGGUUCCCAAGCCGUGAGGCGGAGGCAAUCCCAUCAAAGCAGACCCCAGUUCGGAUUGCAGGCUGAAAUUCGCCUGCAUGAAGUUGGAAUCGCUAGUAAUCGCGUAUCAGCCAUGACGCGGUGAAUAUGUUCCUGAUCCUUGUACACACCGCCCGUCAAGCCACGAAAGCGGGGGGCGCUCGAAGUCGCUUUGUCCAACCUUCGGGAGGACGGCGCCGAAAGCGAAUUCCGUGAUUGGGACUAAGUC